AUACGUAGGUGACAAGCGUUAUCCGGAUUUACUGGGCGUAAAGGGAGUGUAGGCGGUCUUGCAAGUCAGAAGUGAAAUUCCUGAGCUCAACUCGGGCGCUGCUUCUGAAACUGCAGGACUUGAGUGCUGGAGGGGAUAGCGGAAUUCCUAGUGGAGCGGUAAAAUGCGCAGAUAUUAGGAAGAACACCGGUGGCGAAGGCGUCUAUCUGGACAGUAACUGACGCUGAGGCGCGAAAGCGUGGGGAGCAAACAGGAUUAGAUACCCUGGUAGUCCACGUCGUAAACGAUGAAUACUAGGUGUAGGGGGUAUCGACUCCCUCUGUGCCGCAGUUAACACAAUAAGUAUUCCGCCUGGGGAGUACGGCCGCAAGGUUGAAACUCAAAUGAAUUGGCGGG
RNAcentral lists this ribosomal RNA (396 nucleotides) under uncultured bacterium. Its description in RNAcentral is "partial 16S ribosomal RNA". It matches the Rfam family "Bacterial small subunit ribosomal RNA", at positions 523 to 917 of the family's 1533-position model. The record is from RNAcentral.